CGCCUUUGGAAAAUUUUCUAUCAAAAGGUCCUACCUGCCCGGUGAAUAAAUUUUAACGGCUGCGGUACUCUGACCGUGCAAAGGUAGCAUAAUCAUUAGCCUGUUAAUUCCAGGAUGGAAUCAAUGGUAAGACGAAGGAAAAACUGUCUCUUUUCAUUAAUUUUUAAGUUUUCGUUUUGGUGAAGAGACCAGAAUAAUUAAGUGGGACGAGAAGACCCUAUAGAGUUUAAGUCAUUCUAAAAAAACGGUUUUUUUAGAAUGACUUUGGUUGGGGCAACUGAUAAUCAAAUUAAACAUUAAAAAAUAAAGUAAGAAUUAAAUCUUUCAUCACAAUUGUUCCAAAAUUUUAUUUUGAAGUUAGAAAAAAUUACCUUAGGGAUAACAGCGUAAUUCUUUUUGAGAGUACUUAUUGACAAAAGAGUUUGCGACCUCGAUGUUGGAUCAAGUUUUCCUGAAGGUGCAGCAGCUUUCAAAGGUUGGUUUGUUCAACCAUUAAAAUCUU
RNAcentral lists this ribosomal RNA (502 nucleotides) under Astrocladus sp. SMNH-MO-S4B. RNAcentral describes it as "partial 16S ribosomal RNA". It matches the Rfam family "Bacterial large subunit ribosomal RNA", at positions 1817 to 2597 of the family's 2925-position model. Lineage: Eukaryota; Metazoa; Echinodermata; Ophiuroidea; Euryalida; Gorgonocephalidae. The record is from RNAcentral.